UUGAGAAAUCAACCAAUAAUUCUUUAAGCAAUAUCACAGCAAACACAGCCUUCAGGAAAUACCACACUCAACACAACCUACAGGUAAUACCACACUCUACACAACCUACAGGUAAUACCACACUCUACACAACCUACAGGUAAUACCACACUCUACACAACCUACAGGUAAUACCACACUCUACACAUCCUACAGGUAAUACCACACUCCACACAACCUACAGGAAAUACCACACUCUACACAACCUACAGGUAAUACCACACUCCACACAACCUACAGGUAAUACCACACUCCACACAACCUACAGGUAAUAUCACACCCCACACAACCUACAGGUCAUACCACACUCUACACAACCUACAGGUAAUACCACACUCCACACAACCUACAAGUAAUACCACACUCUACACAACCUACAGGUAAUACCACACUCCACACAACCUACAGGUAAUACCACACUCCACACAACCUACAGGUAAUACCACACUCUACACAACCUACAGGUAAUACCACACUCCACAACCUACAGGUAAUACCACACUCUACACAACCUACAGGUAAUACCACACUCCACACAACCUACAGGUAAUACCACACUCCACACAACCUACAGGUAAUACCACGCCCCACACAACCUACAGGUAAUACCACACUCUACACAACCUAUAGGUAAUACCACACUCCACACAACCUACAGGUAAUACCACACUCUACACAACCUACAGGUAAUACCACACUCUACACAACCUACAGGUAAUACCACACUCCACACAACCUACAGGUAAUACCACACUCCACAACCUACAGGUAAUACCACACUCCACAACCUACAGGUAAUACCACACUCUACACAACCUACAGGUAAUACCACACUCUACACAACCUACAGGUAAUACCACACCCCACACAACCUACAGGUAAUACCACACUCCACAACCUACAGGUAAUACCACACUCUACACAACCUACAGGUAAUACCACACUCCACACAACCUACAGGUAAUACUACACUCCACACAACCUACAGGUAAUACCACACUCCACACAACAUACAGGUCAUACCACACUCUACACAACCUACAGGUAAUACCACACUCCACACAACCUACAGGUAAUACCACACUCUACACAACCUACAUGUAAUACCACACUCUACACAACCUACAGGUAAUACCACACUCUACACAACCUACAUGUAAUACCACACUCUACACAACCUACAGGUAAUACCACACUCCACACAACCUACAGGUCAUACCACACUCUACACAACCUACAGGUAAUACCACACUCCACACAACCUACAGGUAAUACCACACUCUACACAACCUACAUGUAAUACCACACUCUACACAACCUACAGGUAAUACCACACUCUACACAACCUACAUGUAAUACCACACUCUACACAACCUACAGGUAAUACCACACUCCACACAACCUACAGGUAAUACCACACUCUACACAACCUACAGGUAAUACCACACCCCACACAACCUACAGGUAAUACCUGUAACACUCCACACAACCUACAGGUAAUACCACACUCUACACAACCUACAGGUAAUACCACACUCUACACAACCUACAGGUAAUACCACACUCUACACAACAUACAGGUAAUACCACACUCCACACAACCUACAGGUAAUACCACACUCUACACAACAUACAGGUAAUACCACACUCCACACAACCUACAGGUAAUACCACAAAAAUCUUCUUUUCAAGACCCAAAUAAGGUAUACUUUAUAAAGGGAAAUAACUUUUUUAACAUCAUUUGUUGAUUUACUAUUUGAAAUAAUUCAAACUUGGCUAGAAUAUUAGUAUGGUAUGAUAAUUUGAUGGUAUGUACAGAUUGGCCCUGACUCAGUGACCCCCUCCCCUCUCCCAGGGGCUGAAGGCGGAGGUCAAAUGGAUCAGAUUGUCUGAUAAAUUUGGCAUUGACCA
Molecule: long non-coding RNA, 1950 nt
Organism: Pecten maximus
Lineage: Eukaryota; Metazoa; Mollusca; Bivalvia; Pectinida; Pectinidae
Exons: 3
Source: RefSeq, a predicted model, not a curated record